AGCGAGGUAGGGCAGAUGCUUGGGGAAUUCCUGGCAGUCCAAUCAGGAGUGCCCGGAGGGCUCAUAACCCUCAGGUCGAUGGUUCAAAUCCAUCCCUCGCUA
This 102-nucleotide transfer RNA is filed under the name Candidatus Woesearchaeota archaeon. RNAcentral's name for it is "tRNA-Met". It matches the Rfam family "tRNA". From Rfam's summary of the family: Transfer RNA (tRNA) molecules are approximately 80 nucleotides in length. Their secondary structure includes four short double-helical elements and three loops (D, anti-codon, and T loops). Lineage: Archaea; Nanobdellati; Candidatus Woesearchaeota. The record is from RNAcentral.